UACGGGAGGCAGCAGUGGGGAAUAUUGCACAAUGGGCGAAAGCCUGAUGCAGCUAUGCCGCGUGUAUGAAGAAGGCCUUAGGGUUGUAAAGUACUUUCAUCGGGGAGGAAAAACAAAACUAAUAAUUUUAUUUCUUGACGUUACCCGAAAAAGAAGCACCGGCUAACUCCGUGCCAGCAGCCGCGGUAAUACGGAGGGUGCUAGCGUUAAUCAGAAUUACUGGGCGUAAAGAGCACGUAGGUGGUUUUUUUAAGUCAGAUGUGAAAUCCCUGGGCUUAACCUAGGAACUGCAUUUUGAAACUGAAAUACUAGAGUAUCGUAGAGGGAGGUAGAAUUCUAGGUGUAGCGGUGAAAUGCGUAGAUAUCUGGAGGAAUACCUGUGGCGAAAGCGGCCUCCUAAACGAAUACUGACACUGAGGUGCGAAAGCGUGGGGAGCAAACAGGGAUUAGAUA
Molecule: ribosomal RNA, 453 nt
Filed under: uncultured bacterium
Lineage: Bacteria
Description: bacterial SSU rRNA
Rfam family: Bacterial small subunit ribosomal RNA
Source: RNAcentral